CGGAUAGAGGUUGCGAUUUUUAAGAGUAAGUCAUCUGACGGCAGGCACCGGAUGAUGAUGACGGAAAGGAAAAGUCGCCGAAAGGUCACAUGGUGCAUGACAUGUGAUUCUUGGGGAUACGGUUAAGAGCCGUAUCACUGUCAUCUUAAUUUAUCAUAAGAUGGGGCGCUAUCAG
RNAcentral lists this non-coding RNA (175 nucleotides) under bovine gut metagenome. Its description in RNAcentral is "Lysine riboswitch". It matches the Rfam family "Lysine riboswitch aptamer". From Rfam's summary of the family: Riboswitches are metabolite binding domains within certain messenger RNAs that serve as precision sensors for their corresponding targets. Allosteric rearrangement of mRNA structure is mediated by ligand binding, and this results in modulation of gene expression. The record is from RNAcentral.